This 492-nucleotide ribosomal RNA is filed under the name uncultured bacterium. RNAcentral describes it as "partial 16S ribosomal RNA". It matches the Rfam family "Bacterial small subunit ribosomal RNA", at positions 29 to 507 of the family's 1533-position model. The record is from RNAcentral.
AGUGAACGCUGGCGGUAGGCCUAACACAUGCAAGUCGAACGGCAGCACAGUAAGAGCUUGCUCUUACGGGUGGCGAGUGGCGGACGGGUGAGGAAUACAUCGGAAUCUACUUUUUCGUGGGGGAUAACGUAGGGAAACUUACGCUAAUACCGCAUACGACCUACGGGUGAAAGCAGGGGAUCCUCGGACCUUGCGCGAUUGAAUGAGCCGAUGUCGGAUUAGCUAGUUGGCGGGGUAAAGGCCCACCAAGGCGACGAUCCGUAGCUGGUCUGAGAGGAUGAUUAGCCACACUGGAACUGAGACACGGUCCAGACUCCUACGGGAGGCAGCAGUGGGGAAUAUUGGACAAUGGGCGCAAGCCUGAUCCAGCCAUACCGCGUGGGUGAAGAAGGCCUUCGGGUUGUAAAGCCCUUUUGUUGGGAAAGAAAAGCAGCAGGUUAAUACCCAGCUGUUCUGACGGUACCCAAAGAAUAAGCACCGGCUAACUUCGUG